Molecule: long non-coding RNA, 1125 nt
Organism: Ylistrum balloti
Lineage: Eukaryota; Metazoa; Mollusca; Bivalvia; Pectinida; Pectinidae
Exons: 3
Source: RefSeq, a predicted model, not a curated record
UCUAUGUAAACCAAUAUGGCGGCAGGGAAAACACGUUGUGAUUAGUAAAGCACUCUCCGUGUUAUGGCCAGUUGUUUUAAAGGUUUGAGUGACAGUCUGAAUGACCUUAGGUGUCUGACCAGGACACUGCAACUGCUAUUUCAAGAUGAUGAUCUGAAAACUUGGGACAAACAGUGGGUGACCAGUUGCAGGCUCAUCGCAGAAAUGUCUUCUGAUGUGACUUGAAUUUGACCUCCAUCAGAGUGUCGUACCAAACUUGCCAGGUCAAAAACUAUAUAACUACCAACAAAAAACGUCCUGACCAAAGUGGACAAAUAAAACCUUGACCUGACCCUGAUGCUAAACAUUCAAUCUGAGUCAUCUAAAUACUUGUUUAGCACAUGCAAGGAUAUGAGGCUCCUUCCAAGAUUUUUAUAAGAUAAAAAAGAUCAUCAGGAGAUGAAGUGAGAAAACAAGCAAAAAAGUGUGGAGCUCAACAAAGUUUCUUAAAUCACAAAUAUACAAUGCACAUGGUUACAUAUAUUUGUAUUGGAAUGUUUUAUAGAAAGUUGUAAGAAUGUUGACAAUGUUUGUCAUUUGAUCACUCCUGUAGUGUAGAACUAGAGAGUGUUACCAACAGUGAGUUGAUAAGUUUGGAUGGGGGUGUUUAACUGAUGGAUAUCAUAAAGAAUUUUGGACAAGAUCCAGCAUCUUGUGGAAUCUCAAAUUACCCCCCUUGUAUUAGGCCUUUUGUUCUACUAGCACUUCUUUCAAAAAGAGAGAGAGGAUUAUCUAGAUUUUAUCACAAAUAUAUCUCUCUGGAAUAAUUUGUAUCUCUGACACUAAGGUUUGCUGGAAGGAAUGGUAGAAAGGAGCAUCUGUACUUAGGUAUUUUUGUGGAUCUUGAAGCUGGUUGGUGGAGGAAAGUUGAACUGGCAUCUGAUAGUGACACAGUGUUAAGAUACCACAGACACUAUCCUUGUCUUGUAAAUCUUACAAAGCCCAAAAUUUAUCAGAACCAGGAAUAAUUUGAUUACGCACAUGUUAAUUGUUUCUUAAUGUGUAUUAGUAUCUGGGUACAUUAGUAAAUAGAUGUGGAUUUACCAGACCAACUGACUCAAUAAAUGUGUAUAUAUUUCCAUUAAA